CGAAGUUUACAACUCCCAAACCCCUGUGAACAUACCUAUACGUUGCCUCGGCGGAUCAGCCCGCGCCCUGUAAAAAGGGACGGCCCGCCCGAGGACCCUAAACUCUGUUUUUAGUGGAACUUCUGAGUAAAACAAACAAAUAAAUCAAAACUUUCAACAACGGAUCUCUUGGUUCUGGCAUCGAUGAAGAACGCAGCAAAAUGCGAUAAGUAAUGUGAAUUGCAGAAUUCAGUGAAUCAUCGAAUCUUUGAACGCACAUUGCGCCCGCCAGUAUUCUGGCGGGCAUGCCUGUUCGAGCGUCAUUUCAACCCUCAAGCUCAGCUUGGUGUUGGGACUCGCGGUAACCCGCGUUCCCCAAAUCGAUUGGCGGUCACGUCGAGCUUCCAUAGCGUAGUAAUCAUACACCUCGUUACUGGUAAUCGUCGCGGCCAUGCCGUAAAACCCCAACUUCUGAAUGUUGACCUCGGAUCAGGUAGAAAACCCCAUUCCAG
Molecule: ribosomal RNA, 491 nt
Filed under: Fusarium incarnatum
Lineage: Eukaryota; Fungi; Ascomycota; Sordariomycetes; Hypocreales; Nectriaceae
Description: eukaryotic LSU rRNA
Rfam family: 5.8S ribosomal RNA (bases 149-302)
Source: RNAcentral